Long non-coding RNA from Mauremys mutica (yellowpond turtle), 371 nucleotides. RefSeq lists it as uncharacterized. Lineage: Eukaryota; Metazoa; Chordata; Testudines; Geoemydidae. The transcript has 3 exons. The record is from RefSeq and is a predicted model, not a curated record.
AGUGGAGAUAGCUAGAUUGAUUGGGACACCUGAAGCCAAUCAGAGGCUGGCUUGAACUAGUUAAAAGCCUCCCAGCUAGUCAGUGAGGUGUAGGUGUCAGGAGCUAUAGGAAGGAGCCAUGCUGUUGAAGGAAUGAAGAAGUACAAAUCCAUAUCAGGUGCAUGGAAGGAGGUCCUGAGGUCUCACCAGUCAUACCAUCUUAUGAUGUGAUCCCAUCAGCUAUCACAAGCUAAGGCGGGUUGAACUGGAUCAAGACUUGGAAAGGAUGCUGCCAAGAAACAAGAAUGGUGGUGCCCUUCAACGAUGCACUGGUGCUGUGAAGACAUGAACCAUGCAUGCACAGUCACUGGGAUGGAGUGCGCCACUUGUCG